UUACGGCUCAGUAACACGUAGCUAACCUGCCCUUAGGUCAAGGAUACCCUCGGGAAACUGAGGCUAACACUUGAUAGGAGAUAAGUCCUGGAAGGGUUUUUCUCUGAAAUUCGAGCCUAAGGAUGGGGCUGCGGCUGAUUAGCUUGUUGGUGGGGUAACUGCCUACCAAGGCGAUGAUCAGUAAGGGCUCUUAGUGGAGUCGCCCUGAGAAGGAAUCUGAGACACUAUUCCUAGCUCUACGGAGUGCAGCAGUUACGAAUCUUUUACAAUGCACGAAAGUGUGAUAAAGCGAACCAAAGUGUUUUUCAUAUGAAAAACUUUUCUUCACUGCAAAAAGGUGGAGGAAUAAGGACUGGGUAAGACAGGUGCCAGCCGCCGCGGUAAUCCCUGCAGUCCAAGUUGCAACCAUCAUUAUUGGGUCUAAAACAUCCGUAGCUUGUGUGAUAAGUUUCUUGUGAAAUUCCACAUCUUAAGUGUGGAGAGUGCAAGGAAUACUACCAUGCUAGAGACCGGUAGAUGCAAGGAGUACACUCGAGGUAGUGGUUAAAUACAUUAAUCUUGGGCGGACUAACAAUUGGCGAAGGCACCUUGCAAGAACGGAUCUGACAGUAAGGGAUGAAGGCCAGGGGCGCAAAACGGAUUAGAUACCCGUGUAGUCCUGGCAGUAAACACUGCUCACUAAACAUCGGGCCCUCUUCGGGAGGAUUCGGUGCUGAAGCGAAGGCGAAGAGUGAGCUACCUGGGAAGUAUAGUCGCAAGAUCGAAACUUAAAGGAAUUGGCGGGGGAG
Molecule: ribosomal RNA, 788 nt
Filed under: uncultured euryarchaeote
Lineage: Archaea; Methanobacteriati; Methanobacteriota
Description: bacterial SSU rRNA
Rfam family: Archaeal small subunit ribosomal RNA
Source: RNAcentral